UCCACUGUUUCGAACAUGACGAAAAGAAGAGCGGCGGCGGUGGCGCAACCGCCAAGUACAAGCAGAAGGUUGGGGACGGGCUUGAGAAGACCAAAUCCGUGGCUUCAACCGGGAUGAAGAAGGUCAAACAAGGAACCUCUUCGGGGAUUCAGUGGAUCAAAGACAAGUAUC
Molecule: long non-coding RNA, 171 nt
Organism: Hibiscus syriacus
Lineage: Eukaryota; Viridiplantae; Streptophyta; Magnoliopsida; Malvales; Malvaceae
Exons: 3
Source: RefSeq, a predicted model, not a curated record